Molecule: ribosomal RNA, 325 nt
Filed under: uncultured bacterium
Lineage: Bacteria
Description: bacterial SSU rRNA
Rfam family: Bacterial small subunit ribosomal RNA
Source: RNAcentral
GAUGAACGCUGGCGGCGUGCCUAAUACAUGCAAGUCGAACGCACAGCGAAAGGUGCUUGCACCUUUCAAGUGAGUGGCGAACGGGUGAGUAACGCGUGAGAAACCUGCCUUUCACAAAGGGAUAGCCUCGGGAAACUGGGAUUAAUACCUUAUGAUACUUACAUUUCACAUGAGAAGUAAGUUAAAGCGCAAAGCGGUAGAAAGAUGGUCUCGCGUCCCAUUAGUUAGUUGGUGAGGUAACGGCUCACCAAGACCGCGAUGGGUAGCCGGCCUGAGAGGGUGAACGGCACACUGGAACUGAGACACGGUCUAGACUCCUACGGGA